GACGAACGCUGGCGGCGUGCCUAAUACAUGCAAGUAGAACGCUGAAGGAAGGAGCUUGCUCUUUCUGGAUGAGUUGCGAACGGGUGAGUAACGCGUAGGUAACCUGCCUGGUAGCGGGGGAUAACUAUUGGAAACGAUAGCUAAUACCGCAUAAAAUUGAUUAUUGCAUGAUAGUCAAUUAAAAGGUGCAACUGCACCACUACCAGAUGGACCUGCGUUGUAUUAGCUAGUUGGUGGGGUAACGGCUCACCAAGGCGACGAUACAUAGCCGACCUGAGAGGGUGAUCGGCCACACUGGGACUGAGACACGGCCCAGACUCCUACGGGAGGCAGCAGUAGGGAAUCUUCGGCAAUGGACGGAAGUCUGACCGAGCAACGCCGCGUGAGUGAAGAAGGGUUUCGGAUCGUAAAGCUCUGUUGUAAGAGAAGAACGAGUGUGAGAGUGGAAAGUUCACACUGUGACGGUAGCUUACCAGAAAGGGACGGCUAACUACGUG
Molecule: ribosomal RNA, 497 nt
Filed under: uncultured bacterium
Lineage: Bacteria
Description: partial 16S ribosomal RNA
Rfam family: Bacterial small subunit ribosomal RNA
Source: RNAcentral